UCCCUGGUGGCUCAGUCGGUAAAGAAUCUGCCUGCAAUGCAGGAGACCUGGGUUCGAUCCCUGGAUUGGGAA
This 72-nucleotide transfer RNA is filed under the name Bos taurus (domestic cattle). It matches the Rfam family "tRNA". From Rfam's summary of the family: Transfer RNA (tRNA) molecules are approximately 80 nucleotides in length. RNAcentral also lists the same sequence under 4 other names. The record is from Rfam by way of RNAcentral. Lineage: Eukaryota; Metazoa; Chordata; Mammalia; Artiodactyla; Bovidae.